Chrysemys picta bellii (western painted turtle) is the source of this 2682-nucleotide long non-coding RNA. RefSeq lists it as uncharacterized. The record is from RefSeq and is a predicted model, not a curated record. Lineage: Eukaryota; Metazoa; Chordata; Testudines; Emydidae.
CCCACAGAUGGGCUGCGCCGCACGGGUCACUGUACCUGUGUCCACAUCCUUCACCUGUUGCUUGGCUGCUGCAGUCCGAACAGUCCGCCGGCUCCUCCUUCAUCUCCUGCAGCACCAGCGACUUCUCCUGCUCUCGGCGCCUCCCUCCGAGCCGCCCCCUCCCCUGUAGGUGACGCAGAUGUGCACUGGAGCCUUCAGAGAGGAGAGUCAGAUGCAUACUUCAAUCUUCCUCAGGCAAUGAGCCAUCAAAAGAGUGUUACACCAAGCCCUUCAUGAAUGCAAGUGGAAGAAGAUGAGAGAUGAUUUCCCUAACGCAAUAAGAGACAGCUUGAAUAAUCGUUGAGAAGAGUACAGAAGUCAAACAUUAGCAGUUCUAUUACCGUUCUUUUAUAUCAUUAUUGAGCUAGUAAAAUCUAGUUAUAAGUCAAUAUUAGAGUUUGUAUUCUAGCCUAGACAGUUAUGUAUUUUAAUAGAACAAGAAAUUCAGGACACAAAGCCCUACUUUCAAUGGAAGAAAAAUCACUACUGUGCAUUUUAAAUAUUGAUUUAUGCAAUGACAGCUGAACUGCAAAGUCCCCUGUGCAUUGAUUUUGCUCUCAGUAUUCAGUGAUAAAAAAAUGAUUUAAAAACUCUUUAAAGAGAACAGCAGAGACAGCUCAUUUUUAUCAAAAACUUAACUGUGUAAAUGUGUCCCAUUUGGAAGAUUAGUGAAGGAAAGUGUAAACCAAAAACAGAGCAGAAAAAACGUUGUCACUUUAGAAACUUGAAUGUCACACCUUAUUGUGUCAAAACUAUUUGUGAAGACACCAGUGUUAAAUGUAUGUUCCCCAUAUAGCCUCAACAUGUGGUAACAUGCCAUAGAAGAUUGAAAUAUAAAUGUGCAGUUAGUUUCAGAUAUUUUUCUGUAUUUAACCCUUUUUAAAAAUAUUCUCUAAAGUUUGAAAAAAAUCACUCUUGAGCUGAGUAGGAUUGUAUGUCACCAAAUAUGUUACAAAGUUCAGUGACAGGAAUUUGGCAUCUGGUAAUUAAUAUCUAUUUGAUUGUUGUGAUGUAAACAGUUGAUGUGUUUUAAAACAUUACCUUCUCAACUCGACUGUAAUAUUUUUAUAUGGUUAUUACUUUUGGAUACCUCAAUAAAUAUAUUUAAGAUAGCAUAUUUAAACAAAACUAGCCAAAUUUUCAGAUGUUAUUCUAACUAGUGCUUACUAUCUAACUAACUAAAGCAUAACUCGACAAAAAAAUUGAUUUAGCGAACAAAUUUUAUCAGCGUUUGAACAAAAUUAUGUGAAAAAUUCUAAAGAAAUUUUUAAGCAAAGUGUAUGCUCUCACUGACUUUGAACUCAUGAAGUUCUUGCAAUUUUUUCUUUCUUGUAACUAAAUCAUCAAUAUUUUGCUUACAGAAUUGGAUGGUAGCUUUAAUGUUAGUUGAAUCAUCUGCUCAUCAAGACACAAGUGUUGACUGCAAAUCAGGAUGUGUUGCCUUUUGUCUUGGUAUCUAAUAGCAUAUAGUUCACCAUACAGAUCAGUGUGUAUUUCAAAUAUGAACACAGAGAAACACAUGUUUACCAUGUAGAUGUGGAAAUCCCCCACAGGCUUGCUACUUUGCUCCAUAUUCAUCAAUGUAAAAAAUUAUCUCUAUCACUAUGUAGUAAGCAAGAACAACAACAAAGAAGUAGCUCAUGUCAUAAUACAGUACCGAGUGGAUUUCUUAGCACAAAGUAUAACAACUACCUUAGAAAAGUUUGCUUUACUUAUGUUUUUGAGUUUUUGUUGUUGGUGCUUCUGCUGCACCAAAAUUGUACCUUUAGAAACUGUCAUGUGGGGUGGGGGGAGGACACAUUGUACAUCCUCAUAUGCCAAGAUGACUACAAAAUACAUUUAAAAUAUAUUUGUGUAGAUGAAACUACUGGGCAGAAAAUAACUUAUAACAACUAGUUAUUCUGUAGACUUAGUGUUGUAAGGAGGAAACCUACCAAAAAGUAAAAGGUGAGGAAUAUAGUUAUGUUCUGUUCCAGAGACCUAGAGAUAUGAUACCAGGGAUGUAUAAUAGGAGUCUUCACAUAUUAAUAAAGUCAGACAUGUUUUACAUUGACCAUACAUAGUUUUGCUAAUGAACAAAAGAAGCAAGAAAAGACAGGGAUGCCUGUUAUUGAAGGAAAGCAUCUUUUUGCCUAAUACACCAGAGAAAUUGUUCAAGAACAGUUCAUCCUUGCAAAAACAUGCACCAUGAAAAGCUCACAAGGUCAUUGUAAGCUUCACUUAUCAGCCAGGUAUUGUAAAUGUUGGCUGUGCAAGUUUAACAUGCAUAUGUUAUGUUUUUCAUUCAUUAAACCACAUCUGUACUUGAUUAUCCCAGUGCCAUUAAAUUCAUCUUCUCUACCCUUUCUGCUUACACAUAACCACAUAUGUUGGAUGAGUAUCCCAGGCCUCAAAUACGCCUUGUUAAUUCACACCAUUUUAAUUUAGUUUACAUGGAAGUGGCACAUAGCUAAUUUUUUCAUGCAUAUUGCAUGAAAAUAUAUGAUAAAAGGGUCAAGACUUAGAGCUCUUUUGCAUUCAGAUUCAUACUAUCUUCUAUUUUCUGUCUUUCUAUCCAAGUGUUGUGCUGGUGAAUUAAAUCAGCAUGACAGGGUCCCUCAUGGAAUCUUGUGCAUGUGUUCGUUCCGUGUUUAUAGAAACUCU